This 1089-nucleotide ribosomal RNA is filed under the name Eucampia antarctica. RNAcentral's name for it is "partial Bacterial large subunit ribosomal RNA". It matches the Rfam family "Bacterial large subunit ribosomal RNA", at positions 1 to 1052 of the family's 2925-position model. The record is from RNAcentral. Lineage: Eukaryota; Bacillariophyta; Thalassiosirophyceae; Eucampiales; Eucampiaceae.
UUCUAAGGGCGCAUGGUGGAUGCCUUGGCAACAGGAGCCGAAGAAGGACGUGGGAAUCUGCGAUAAGCCUGGUGGAGUCGAUAACCGGACGUUGAGACCAGGAUUUCCGAAUGGGGAAACCCCGCACGACGUGUCGUGUGACCACCGGUUGAACACAUAGACCGGUUGGAGGGAACGUGGGGAAGUGAAACAUCUCAGUACCCACAGGAAGAGAAAACAAAAGUGAUUCCGUUAGUAGUGGCGAGCGAACGCGGAUGGGGCUAAACCGUAUGUGUGUGAUACCCGGCAGGGGUUGCAUGUGCGGUGUUGUGGGCCCCUCCUUGUCAUGUCUGCCGGCAUGGCGCAGUGAGGUGCGGGCAUAUAGACGAACCAGUGUGGAUGCUGGACCGUAGAGGGUGAGAGUCCCGUAGUCGAAAUGUGUUCCGCCGCUGUUGGAGGGUCGCCCGAGUAGCACGGGGCCCGAGGAAUCCCGUGUGAAUCUGCCAGGACCACCUGGUAAGCCUGAAUACUACCUGUUGACCGAUAGCGGAUCAGUACCGUGAGGGAAUGGUGAAAAGUACCCCGGGAGGGGAGUGAAAUAGUACCUGAAACCAUGUGCCUACAAACCGUUGGAGCCUCCUUGUUGGGGUGACAGCGUGCCUUUUGAAGAAUGAGCCUGCGAGUUAGUGUUCUGUCGCAAGGUUAACCCGUGUGGGGAAGCCGUAGCGAAAGCGAGUCUGAAUAGGGCGCUUUAGUUAGUAGUGGUAGACGCGAAACCGUGUGAUCUACCCAUGGGCAGGGUGAAGCUGUAGUAACAUACAGUGGAGGCCCGAACCGAUAUACGUUGAAAAGUGUUCGGAUGACCUGUGGGUAGGGGUGAAAGGCCAAUCAAACUCUGUGAUAGCUGGUUCUCCCCGAAAUGCAUUUAGGUGCAGCGUUACGUGUUUCUUGCCGGAGGUAGAGCUACUGGAUGGCCGAUGGGCCCCACAGGGUUACUGACGUCAGCUAAACUCCGAAUGCCGGUAAGUCAGAGCGUAGCAGUGAGACAGUGGGGGAUAAGCUUCAUUGUCGAGAGGGAAACAGCCCAGACCAUCAACUAAGGUCCCAAAG